AGAACGAACGCUGGCGGCAGGCUUAACACAUGCAAGUCGAACGAGUGUAGCAAUACACUAGUGGCGCACUGGUGAGUAACGCGUGGAUAUCUACCUUUUGGUUCGGAAUAACCUUGGGAAACCGAGGCUAAUACCGGAUGGUUCCUACGGGAUAAAGAUUUAUCGCCAGAAGAGGAGUCCGCGUCCGAUUAGCUAGUUGGUGAGGUAACGGCUCACCAAGGCGACGAUCGGUAGCUGGUCUGAGAGGACGAUCAGCCACACUGGGACUGAGACACGGCCCAGACUCCUACGGGAGGCAGCAGUGGGGAAUAUUGGACAAUGGGCGAAAGCCUGAUCCAGCCAUGCCGCGUGAGUGAUGAAGGCCUUAGGGUUGUAAAGCUCUUUUACCCGGGAAGAUAAUGACGGUACCGGGAGAAUAAGCCCGGCUAACUUCGUGCCAGCAGCCGC
Molecule: ribosomal RNA, 447 nt
Filed under: uncultured bacterium
Lineage: Bacteria
Description: SSU rRNA
Rfam family: Bacterial small subunit ribosomal RNA
Source: RNAcentral